CCUACGGGGGGCAGCAGUGAGGAAUAUUGGUCAAUGGACGAGAGUCUGAACCAGCCAAGUAGCGUGAAGGAUGACUGCCCUAUGGGUUGUAAACUUCUUUUAUAUGGGAAUAAAAUGUUCUACGUGAGGGAUUUUGUAUGUCCCAUAUGAAUAAGGAUCGGCUAGCUCCGUGCCAGCAGCCGCGGUAAUACGGAGGAUCCGAGCGUUAUCCGGAUUUAUUGGGUUUAAAGUGAGAGUAGGUGGUUUGUUAAGUCAGAUGUGAAAGUUUGCGGCUCAACCGUAAAAUGGCAGUUGAAACUGGAAGUCUUGAGUACAGUAGAGGUAGGCGGAAUUCGUGGUGUAGCGGUGAAAUGCUUAGAUAUCACGAAGAACCCCGAUUGCGAAGGCAGCUUUCUAAUCUGUGACUGACAUUGAUGCUCGAAAGUGUGGGUAUCAAACAGGAUUAGAUACCCGUGUAGUC
This 460-nucleotide ribosomal RNA is filed under the name uncultured bacterium. Its description in RNAcentral is "partial 16S ribosomal RNA". It matches the Rfam family "Bacterial small subunit ribosomal RNA", at positions 338 to 795 of the family's 1533-position model. The record is from RNAcentral.